ACGAACGCUGGCGGCGUGCUUAACACAUGCAAGUCGAACGGAAAGGCCCUGCUUUUGUGGGGUGUUCGAGUGGCGAACGGGUGAGUAACACGUGAGUAACCUGCCCUUGACUUUGGGAUAACUUCAGGAAACUGGGGCUAAUACCGGAUAGGAGCUCCUGCUGCAUGGUGGGGGUUGGAAAGUUUCGGCGGUUGGGGAUGGACUCGCGGCUUAUCAGCUUGUUGGUGGGGUAGUGGCUUACCAAGGCUUUGACGGGUAGCCGGCCUGAGAAGGUGACCGGCCACAUUGGGACUGAGGUACGGCGCAGACUCCUACGGGAGGCAGCAGUGGGGAAUAUUACACAAUGGGCGGAAGCCUGAUGCAGCGACGCCGCGUGCGGGAUGACGGCCUUCGGGUUGUGAACCGCUUUCGCCUGUGACGAAGCGUGAGUGACGGUAAUGGGUAAAGAAGCACCGGCUAACUACGUG
RNAcentral lists this ribosomal RNA (467 nucleotides) under uncultured bacterium. Its description in RNAcentral is "partial 16S ribosomal RNA". It matches the Rfam family "Bacterial small subunit ribosomal RNA", at positions 29 to 507 of the family's 1533-position model. The record is from RNAcentral.